RNAcentral lists this long non-coding RNA (2341 nucleotides) under Capsicum annuum. RNAcentral describes it as "long non-coding RNA (CANN_LNC013452)". Lineage: Eukaryota; Viridiplantae; Streptophyta; Magnoliopsida; Solanales; Solanaceae. The record is from RNAcentral.
CCGCUUCAAAAUGGGUUAUUAGCUCGUGCUUCUCUGUUCAUCUCAUCGCAUCCAAUAGGCCAUAAGAUCGAUGUUUGGGCUUUGUUUCAAAGCGGUUGGCAUAAAGAUACCUGGCCCUAAUGGCCCAUGAAGAAAAUGCGAGGGGGGCAGAUGAGUCUGUUUUGGACUCAAAGUGCACAGUGCAUGCAAAAGAAAUAAAUAAGGAUUAGAAAUGGAUAAGCACAAGUCUGUAUAAAAAAUAUGCACUUUGGCAAAAUAUAAGCAAAAAUAUUGUAAUAAAGUUUAGCAAAGAGAAACCACUGCAUCACAUAUAACCAUUUUCAGUUAAGCAACUAAGGGAACCCAAAUUUCAAAAGGCAAACAACUGAAGCAUAAUGAUGUCAACUUUAUUAAAAGGAUUUAGGAUAACCAAACUUGUCACUGGAUUUCCAAAUCAAAAGAAGAAACUUAUUCUAUUUGCUACUUCUUUUCCUUUUAUUAUUAUUAUUAUUAUUAUUAUUAUUAUUUGAAGUAUAUAUAUAGUACCUAGGCAUGCCGGACAGCUGCAGACAAGAACCUACACGCAGGUUUAUGGAGAGAAGGUAAUAAAACACGUACGCAUCAUUCGAUGAUUGAAAAUUGCCUUACAGAACUCUUAGAGCUCUAGGAAAAUGAACCCAAAAUUGAAUCAAAAAUACAGAAGCAUGAGGGAUAGCAACUUGAAUAGGUUGUUUCUGCUAGACCCUCGACUCAAAAAUAAAAUGAUUUAGACAUGAGACGGCAAGAUAUGAUAUGUUCAACACGUCCAAUAACAUCAUAAACCAAAUACCCUGAGUAAUGCAACAAAAGAAAUAACAUCCUACUAUAACUUAAGCUAUGCAACCUGCUAAAAAUACAUAAGAUUAAAGAUAGGAAAUUUACUCUAUUCUUAUUAAACAAAUGGCGACAUCUAGGUAAAUAAUGGAUGGCCAAAGAAGCAUGUGAAAUAAACAACAAUGAAUAAAUAACUAAACAAAGAGUUCAAGAUUUAAGCAAAAGUUUGUAAAACCGAGGAAAGCAAAACAUAAGCUAAAAUUAGGGAUCAAGCGAUUAUAACGGCAAUCAGCCUAGCGUAGCAAGACUCUAGAUGCAAAAGAUGAAAAUUUUAAGCGAAAAGCAAAGCCUUGAUGAGGUAUACAUUGAUUCAUGCCACGAACUCUCAGGUAAACCACCAAUCAGUUUAGUACAGUAUGUUCAACAGGGUUAUAUUAAAAUUAUGACUUGAACACUGCUUCAGGGAAAUGGCACAACAACAGUCAAAAUACAACCCCUAAAGCCAUCAUAGCCAAAUGCAGUAGAAAGAUCCCAGCCUCAUUCAUGACAAACACAUAACUACUUCUACGGGAAAAGAGAAAAGGGAUGAAGCCGAAAGUGAUGAGUUUAAAAGGAAAAAAUUAUGUUCACCUCCUCUAGGGUAGCAAAAUGAGGACCCGAGCUAUCAGUCAAAUUUGCUACCGCCGGGAAACAGCCCUUCGGGAAACUUCAACUCAAAUUGAUAGUUUCAAAAACUUUUCUAGCUAAAUCUACAGUUCCAUACUCAACUAAGAAAACACAUGUACUGAUUUUUGCUCUAAAAAUGGAUUUUUCCACUUCAAAACCUUAAUGGAAACUGGUGAAAUUUUUGCUCUUUAAGAAUCCCCUCAAAAUUAAAAAAAAAAAAACACCCUAAACGAAAAAAAUGAAAAGAAAAAUCUCCUGAAAAGAAAAAGAAGAAACCCCCCUCCCCCUUUUCUAGACCCAAAACUUCAAAAUUUAUAGAAUAUGGUGACCUCUCAUUCCUCUAGUCCCCAAUUUCUGAACCUCCUAAAAUCCAAUCCCUAGCUAGUGACUCCUAUUGCCUCUUAUAUAGAGGAUAGAACCAGGGUAUUUUUGGGAUCCCUAAAAAAGGAACCCUAGGGUUUAAGAUUUGAAAAUCCUUUCCCUCCCACCAUCUUGUUUUCGAACCUGCACCGUACCAAAAUUUUGGAUUUUUCCCACAAAAUGGAAUAGGUGGACCAAUUGAAAAAGGGUAAAACAAAUUCCAUUCUAAAACAAUCAAAAACGACCAGAUGUGUAUGAAUUCGUACCAUGGUACCCGAGAUUCAUGGAAUAUGGACGUUGGACGAGACACCUAGGCUUGCUUCUAGAAGAUUCAAGGUUUUCCCGUACUAUGAAUGCGUGAAAUGUGUGGGUACAGCUGGGUCGAGUCGUUUUGCAGAUAUUUAACUAAUGUGGGAUUUGAUUUCUGUUGAAAGCGGGUUGGUUCGACCAUGGGUUGCCAUAUUCGGGUGGAGAAGGGGUUGAGGUAGAGUUGACGGCAGUUUAAGGUUUGGCUUUGGUUGAG